This is a long non-coding RNA of Aethalodelphis obliquidens (Pacific white-sided dolphin), 202 nucleotides long. RefSeq lists it as uncharacterized. The transcript is spliced from 3 exons. The record is from RefSeq and is a predicted model, not a curated record. NCBI's taxonomy places the organism in Eukaryota, Metazoa, Chordata, Mammalia, Artiodactyla, Delphinidae.
GGCGGACUUUCAACCACUGUGCCACCAGGGAAGCCCAUAGGGAGGAAUCAGUUGCAGUCUUGAAACUAUUUUUGGAGAAAGUAAGGGCUUCACUUUGUCCAUGUGUAGAGCUGAGCAAGUCCACAUCCUCUCAUCUCCAUAUUUUUCACCGCUACUAAAAGGCCUCUCACUGUUGUGGCCUCUCCCGUUGCGGAGCACAGGC